GACGAACGCUGGCGGCGUGCCUAAUACAUGCAAGUAGAACGCACAGUUUAUACCGUAGCUUGCUACACCAUAGACUGUGAGUUGCGAACGGGUGAGUAACGCGUAGGUAACCUGCCUGGUAGCGGGGGAUAACUAUUGGAAACGAUAGCUAAUACCGCAUAAUAUUGAUUAUUGCAUGAUAAUUGAUUGAAAGAUGCUAUUGCAUCACUACCAGAUGGACCUGCGUUGUAUUAGCUAGUAGGUGAGGUAACGGCUCACCUAGGCGACGAUACAUAGCCGACCUGAGAGGGUGAUCGGCCACACUGGGACUGAGACACGGCCCAGACUCCUACGGGAGGCAGCAGUAGGGAAUCUUCGGCAAUGGACGAAAGUCUGAUCGAGCAACGCCGCGUGAGUGAAGAAGGUUUUCGGAUCGUAAAGCUCUGUUGUAAGAGAAGAACGGGUGUGAGAGUGGAAAGUUCACACUGUGACGGUAUCUUACCAGAAAGGGACGGCUAACUACGUG
This 505-nucleotide ribosomal RNA is filed under the name uncultured bacterium. Its description in RNAcentral is "partial 16S ribosomal RNA". It matches the Rfam family "Bacterial small subunit ribosomal RNA", at positions 28 to 507 of the family's 1533-position model. The record is from RNAcentral.